RNAcentral lists this long non-coding RNA (634 nucleotides) under Monodelphis domestica (gray short-tailed opossum). RNAcentral's name for it is "lncRNA (ENSMODG00000047643.1)". Lineage: Eukaryota; Metazoa; Chordata; Mammalia; Didelphimorphia; Didelphidae. The record is from RNAcentral.
UGGGUGAAGAUUCCAAGGUUCCAACUGUAAAACACUGUCUCUCCUGAAGUAGGUUUUGGAGAUUGGUGGUUUUUCCAUCUAUCUACCAGGUUUCUGGCCUUUUGGUGAUACCAGCUGAAGAGAGAGGGAUCCUGCUUGGACUGGCUGCUGGCAGCUGAACAAAGACUAAAGACCCAUUUCUCUGCUGGACCUGCUUUGGACAGUUUCUUCUGAAGAUCGUGGCUCUUAUAUUGGACUCCAUUUGUUCUUGCUAUCAAGAAAGAAGACAUUUACCCCAGACCUUUUGGGUUCUGCAGUAGUUCUGUGCUGUUAUAUAAUGAACAAAGACGAAGGUGUUCCAGAAAGGGGAGGGUUACUCCAUCAUCAUCUUCUGUUUUGGAGAAGAGAAGAACUCAACUGAAAUUCUGAAGAACAGGAUUGACAGGAGAAGCCCCUGAAGAGAGCAGUGGAUUUUGAGAGUGAACAAGUGGUCAAGAAAUCUGAGAAUAGGAUUUAGAUAUGUAGGCCAUUCCUUUAAAAAAUGAACAGAAGAAAGGCCUAAAGGAAAUACAAACUUUAAAAGUUACAUGCUGAUUUAUUGUUCAUUUAAAAGAAAAAGUCAGAUGUGUAUAACAGAGAUUUAGUUGAUUUACAA